This 484-nucleotide ribosomal RNA is filed under the name uncultured bacterium. Its description in RNAcentral is "bacterial SSU rRNA". It matches the Rfam family "Bacterial small subunit ribosomal RNA", at positions 28 to 512 of the family's 1533-position model. The record is from RNAcentral.
GAUGAACGCUGGCGGCGUGCUUAACACAUGCAAGUCGAACGAAGCACUUUAGUUGAUUUCUUCGGAUUGAUUCUAAAGUGACUUAGUGGCGGACGGGUGAGUAACGCGUGGGUAACCUGCCUUGUACAGGGGGAUAACAGUUAGAAAUGACUGCUAAUACCGCAUAACCCGCUAAGGUCGCAUGACCUGGACGGAAAAGAUUUAUCGGUACAAGAUGGACCCGCGUCUGAUUAGCUAGUUGGUGAGGUAACGGCCCACCAAGGCGACGAUCAGUAGCCGGCCUGAGAGGGUGACCGGCCACAUUGGGACUGAGACACGGCCCAAACUCCUACGGGAGGCAGCAGUGGGGAAUAUUGCACAAUGGGGGAAACCCUGAUGCAGCAACGCCGCGUGAGUGAAGAAGUAUUUCGGUAUGUAAAGCUCUAUCAGCAGGGAAGAAAAUGACGGUACCUGACUAAGAAGCCCCGGCUAACUACGUGCCAGC